GGGGUCUGGGGGGGCCGCUGGCGGCCCCCACCCACGAGGCUGCCCCGCGCCAGCUUCUGCAGCUCGACGGGCACUACGGCGCUGGGGCAGUGCUUCUCGAUGUAGUCCUGGAAUCCCUGCACUCCCAUGGAAGGAAACUAGUCCAGAGCAUGUGCCACCAGGAGCCUGGCUGUUAGCAUCCUUGGAGUCAGGGCAGCACAGCAGAACUGAGCACUGCCAGCUUGUGCUCAGCCACGCACACAGCCCUCCCUCCCCAAUGAGAAGAGAGAGGAAAAGCAUAAGGGGAACAAGGUGCUUCCAGAACUUAUUUAAUAUAAACUAAAAGUUUGGCCAGACAAGAAGACAAUGGAAAAUAAGUUAAAUUUAUGGCAAAACAAAAUUACUCUGGAAAGCAGGUAGAUUAAGCUAGACUUAAAGAGCAAUUAAUCAAAGACACAAGGCAAAUAAAGUGUUUUUUUCAUCAACCAGCAGCAGAAAGCCUGCAGGAUUCAUCAAUCUUCUACUUCAGCACUGAGACACGUGUUCCACAGUUCCCAGAUGUUGGUUGUGUCAGGGAAGGGUUAAUAACAGUUGGUGUUAAAGUCAGUGACUCAUUAUCCAACCUGAACAGAGGCGAUUUAGGAGUGGCUCCCUCAAAGGAAGGAACUGAACAGUCAUUAGGAAGAACUAACGAAUAGCCAUGUCAGAGCAAGAGCAGAGAUGAAUGUUAUCAGUUUAGUCGUGGUUCUUCUGUUAAGGAAGGUCAGUCCCACAGCAAGAUGAACAUGGACACAGCCUGUGGAACAGACUGGCCACUGGGACCUGAAAGCCUGGUGUAUCUUGCUGUGGAGAUGCUGCCCCAGAAGUUCCCUGUUCUUGCUGCUGUAGAAGAGCUCCCAGCCUUCACCUCACUGCCAGGUCUACAAGUGGCCGUGGGCUCACCCUGUGGGCAAGUGCUUUUCUGCAUUGCUACUUCAGCACUCACAGUUCUAGGCAUGCUGGUCACUUAGUCGAAAAAAGUUGCAAAAAUAAAAGAAAUUGAAGAAAAAUUGUUGAGGUUUAAAAAAGUGUUGGGGAUAAAGUCUGUCACUUACUGCAAUCUUGCUCUGAUUUUGUAUCAUCGUAUUUGCUACCACCUGUGACAUCCCUUUCUUGUCUCUUAUGUUGCUGCAAUUAAACUAUACACCAUCACACUACAUUUAUAGAAGGAGGUUUUUCAUGUUCAGAUAUCUCCACAAAAUAUCAACAAGAACCAUCUUGCUUGAGCAAUAACUUUUUUCAAAUCUCUGUGAUACUUUGGAUGGAACAUUUUUCUCUAAGGACAAAGAUGUGCAUGUAGAAGGCACAUCACUGAGUUACUUAAAACAUUUACUGGUCUCUGCAUCAGCUCUCUAGGGACCACCAGUUCAAAGAAAAGAUGAUUCAGAAGGUAGCAUACUUUACUGGAGCCACUGCUAUGCUCAAACUCAAAAUUUCUGAUUGUCCAUAGAGGCCAACCCUUGAGGGGUUUGGCCCUGGACAUAUGUGGGGUAAACGAUGGUGUUGCUCCAGCAAACUUUUAGGGCAAGAAAAUGACUGGCAGUGAGUCCUCUGAGUGCCUGGGAGAAGCAGGCUGGAGGAGGAGGAGGGGGCAAUGACGCUGGCUGAAAGAAUUCCUCCUUUCAGAGAACAAGCAGCGCUUUCACAGCAGUGGAUGCUCAGCCACAGCACACACUACACAGAUUACAUCGGGGCCAUUUGCUGCCUUUGAUUAGUUUUAAGAAACAAAAGCAUGAAAAUUUUAAGUUCUAAAGUUGAAUUUUCAAGAGAAAAAGCAUAAAUAAUAAGGGCAUUAUGGAGCAGGCAGUGGGAGCUGGUGGGGAGCACUGCAGCCUCAAAAACCUGGAACAGUAGUGUGCUGUUCCUGUGGCAGUUGUGUGAGACAUACAAAAAGCAAGUAUUUAAAGCCUAUUCUACUGCAGUUCUUGCAGGACCAUUGAUAAUAUGAUGAAAAGAUACUAAUAGAAUGCUGCAGGUUGAUGUUAUAACAGAUAAGAGGCACUUGCCAGUGGUAUGGUGAGAGCACAUCUGAGCUAAAAUACAUCUACUGUGGCCAUUUCAGAAGAGCAACGGUUUACACCCCCAACACUUUAAAAACACGUCAUUUUUGUUGGCAUUUAUGAAAUUAACAAAAGUAUCUCAGGCAUGAAAGAAACAGAUUUAGCUUCCUAAAUGUGGGUAGGGCUGCCUGGUUUGGGAAUACCAUCCAUGCCAGACCUUUGCUUUCAGUCUGCUACAGCAGCUGAAUUCCUCAUCUUGCCCAAGUGCGCAGCAGCACGGUCUGCCAGCGUGCCACACGUAGACGUGGAUCACUUUGUUCUUUGUCUUACCAUGGUCUGCCCGUAUUUCACCCCUACAGUUCUUGCUACAGAGUCUAAAAAGGAAGUAUAAAAAUCCCCCUAAAUUUAUUUGAAUUGCAAAGUAUAAAGUUCUGGUGCUGUGCCUGCUUGAAUCAGCACACAGGAUGAAGUGAGGUCCAUAAAUCCAGUGUUUUCAAAGUAGUAGCCUGGACACAAGGGAUACUUUGUGCUGUUGCCUUUCCUGUCGCAUAAUGGCUCUGCCAUGUCCAUCCCAGAGGCACAGCCACCACUCCUGGGAUAGGGUGCUCCUUGAGCUGCUGCAGUUGGAGAAGCAGACAAUCCUCCUGUUGUCCAGAACUGGCCCACGAGCCACCAAUUAGACUGCUGGGAACGACAGCAUUCUGUUCAAAGGGCUGCUAAUUGUAUUUUAAUGAUGAUUUAAAUGCUGCUGCUGAUAAUUUCAGAGACAUCCAGAUCACUAAUUACUCAUAGUCUAUGUUGAGCUUUAAGCAGGCGCAGGCACAGCACCGUAGAAGCAUCAAGUAAUGUCAUUAAUGUUCUCAAAGGCCUUCACUGCCCUCCCACAUGUCAAAAGCAUCAUCUCCUGCUCCCAGGCCCAAGCCCAGCCCUGGCUGCUCACAUCUGGGAUCCAGCAGCCCAGCUGCACCACAAGUUCUUGCAGCAUUCUGGAAGUAAGGAAAGAGAAACAGCGAAUCAAAAUUAUUUACAUUCAUUAAAUAAAAUUCUACCAAUAUUAGUAAAAAUUAGCUUACACCCUUACAACACCGCCACUUCAGAUCAUUUUGCCUUUAAGAUAAAAUACUCGCUCAGUUGAACUGCAUCCCUGAACACAGUGUGGUCAGAGUGUUUGAAUUAACUCGCCAGAAAUGCAGAUCCUAACAAGUUGCCUGCACAGCCAGGAAGAACAUCAAUCUGUUGGAGCAAGUCCAGAGGAGGCUGCCAAGAUGGUCAGAAGGAUGGAGCACCUCUGCUACAAGGAAAGGCUGAGAGCAUUAGGGUUGUUCAGCCUGGAGAAGAGAAGCUUCAGGGUGACCCAGUUGCAGCCUUGCAGUACCUGAAGGGAGCGUACAAGAGAAGUGGAACGAGGCUAUUUACAAGGACCCAGAGUGACAGAACAAGGGAGAAUGGCUUCAGACUGACACAAGACAGGUUUGGGUUAGAUAUUGGAAAGAAAUUAGAAAUUCUUGGCUGUGAGGGUGGGCAGGCCCUGGCACUGGCUGCCCCAUCCCUCAAGGUGCCCAAGGCCAGGUUGGACAGGGCUUGGAGCAACCUGGGAUAGAGGAAGAUGUCCCUGCCCGUGGCAGGGGUGGCACUGGAUGAUCUUUGAGGUACCUUCCCAGCCAUUCAGUUCUAGGGUUCUCUGGCUCUCUCCUUGCCACUGCAGCAGGAGCAGUGAUGUGCUGGAAACGUGGCCAUCCUGCAGAGCUCACACAGCCAGAGCUGUGCUGCGCAGUUCGUCCAACGGAGCAGAGUUUCCAAGGCUGUCAAAUCAAUACCUGCCAUAAGCAUGAAAUUCCUUCCCAAAUAUUUGCUUGUAUUCUGUACAAGAUGCUCAUAGUGUGUGAAGGAAUCUAUUCUCCAGAAAAAAUAUUUAGAGUGCAAGUCACAGUUUUCCCCUUCAGAAAUUCAGCCAAAACACACCAAAUGUGCUAUCCAUGGGCAGUGUAGUGCUGGUCAAGAUGUUUAUACAUAAAACACUCUGUCAGUGAGAGUAAAGCACAUAUCUUGCCUGUGUAAUUGAUAUCUACAAAUGGGGAAGCUGGCUGAGCCCUGUUCUAAAAUAUGUGCUUUUACAAGAAUGUAGGUUAGCUGUAGUACAGUGGAUUUUACAUGCCAAACCUAAGCAGUCAGAAUUUGGAAGAGACUUUUAAUGAUGCAGGAACAAAGGGGAGGCUUGUUUUUUCAUUGGAAAAUAAAAUGCAUGUAAACAAAUCCUAAUGCUG
Molecule: long non-coding RNA, 4282 nt
Organism: Melospiza melodia melodia
Lineage: Eukaryota; Metazoa; Chordata; Aves; Passeriformes; Passerellidae
Exons: 3
Source: RefSeq, a predicted model, not a curated record